RNAcentral lists this ribosomal RNA (421 nucleotides) under uncultured bacterium. RNAcentral's name for it is "partial 16S ribosomal RNA". It matches the Rfam family "Bacterial small subunit ribosomal RNA", at positions 360 to 773 of the family's 1533-position model. The record is from RNAcentral.
AAUAUUGGACAAUGGGCGAAAGCCUGAUCCAGCCAUGCCGCGUGUGUGAAGAAGGUCUUCGGAUUGUAAAGCACUUUAAGUUGGGAGGAAGGGCAGUAAGUUAAUACCUUGCUGUUUUUACGUUACCGACAGAAUAAGCACCUGCUAACUUCGUGCCGUCAGCCGCGGUAAUACGAAGGGUGCAAGCGUUAAUCGGAAUUACUGGGCGUAAAGGGCGCGUUGGUUGUUUGUUAAGUUGGAAGUGAAAGCCCCGGGGUCAAACUGGGAACCGCUUUACAAACUGGGAAGCUAGGGUAAGGGAGAAGGUGGGUGAAAUUCCUUUGUUGGGGUAAAAAUGGUAGAGAAAGGAAGGGACACCAGUGGGGAAGGCGGCCACCUGGGGUUAUUCUGACCCUUAGGUUGGAAAGCGUGGGGGGCAAAA